Molecule: unclassified non-coding RNA, 2296 nt
Filed under: Haliotis rufescens (red abalone)
Lineage: Eukaryota; Metazoa; Mollusca; Gastropoda; Lepetellida; Haliotidae
Description: ras-related protein Rab-20-like, transcript variant X1
Source: RNAcentral
CAUGGAAUUCUCCCUUGAGGGCACUUCCUGUACAGUCUCGGGUCGUUUCCGGAGGGUGGCAGUCAUCCUGUUUGUUGACAUCGCAUUGUUUACCGUGUUCACGAUAUGACAGUUGUCACCAGACACCUGUAAGAGAUGGCCAACAAGAAAAAAGCUGACCUGAAGGUCAUCAUCAUGGGCGACUUUGCUGUGGGGAAAACUUCACUCAUCUGUCGAUACAUUGAGGGAAAAUUCAAAACCCAGGAACCGACAAUCGGAGCUGCCUUCUUCCUGAAACAGUGGGGCCCCUACAAUGUUGCUGUGUGGGACACGGCAGGCGAUGAGCGCUACACCGGCCUCUCCAACUUCUACUGCCGCAACGCUGGCGUCGCCAUCCUGGCCUACGAUAUAUCCAGUGACAAGUCAUUUGAAUCUCUCUGGGCAAGAUUUAACCCCUUACUCUCUGCUGCACAUGAAGACUGCCUCAGGGUUGUCGUGGGAACCAAGCUAGACCAGGUCACACCCACAUCUCGUGCGGUUACCAUUGAAGAAGGAGUGAAGUUAGCCAAGGAGCUUAACGAACACCUGGAUAUAUCCAAACUGCUGAAAGCCCCCUACUUUGAAACUUCCAGCUUGAACGGACAUAAUGUGAAGGAGCUGUUUGAGUGUAUAUUUCAGUACCGACUACCGAUUAGUGAUGGAGACAGAACCCGACAGGUCAAGGACACAGUGGAUCUGUAUGAGACUGGCAGCUCCGGCUCAAAGAAGGGCGGUUGCUGUUAACGGUGUGUGGAACAACAGCCAUAGUGUGUACUUGUGUGACGUCACUCAGCCAUAAUGUGUACUUGUGUGAUGUCACUCAGCCGUAGUGUGUACUUGUGUGAUGUCACUCAGCCGUAGAGUGUACUUGUGUGACGUCACUCAGCCAUAAUGUGUACUUGUGUGAUGUCACUCAGCCAUAGUGUGUACUUGUGUGAUGUCACUCAGCCAUAGUGUGUACUUGUGUGACGUCCCUCAGCCAUAGUGUACUUGUGUGACGUCACUCAGCCAUAAUGUGUACUUGUGUGAUGUCACUCAGCCAUAGUGUGUACUUGUGUGACUUCACUCAGCCAUAGUGUGUACUUGUGUGAUGUCACUCAGCCAUAGUGUGUACUUGUGUGAUGUCACUCAGCCGUAGUGUGUACUUGUGUGAUGUCACUCAGCUGUAGUGUUUACUUGUGUGAUGUCACUCAGCCAUAGUGUGUACUUGUGUGAUGUCACUCAGCUGUAGUGUGUACUUGUGUGAUGUCACUCAGCCAUAGUGUGUACUUGUGUGACGUCAUUCUAUAGUGUGUGCUUCUGUGUGAUGUCACUCAGCUGUAGUGUGUACUUGUGUGAGGUCACUCAGCCGUAGUGUGUACUUGUGUGAUGUCACUCAGCUGUAGUGUGUACUUGUGUGAUGUCACUCAGCCAUAGUGUGCACUUGUGUGAUGUCACUCAGCUGUAGUGUGUACUUGUGUGAUGUCACUCAGCCGUAGUGUGUACUUGUGUGAUGUCACUCAGCUGUAGUGUGUACUUGUGUGAUGUCACUCAGCUGUAGUGUGUACUUGUGUGAUGUCACUCAGCCAUAGUGUGCACUUGUGUGAUGUCACUCAGCCAUAGUUUGUACUUGUGUGACGUCACUCAGCCGUAGAGUGUACUUGUGUGAUGUCACCCAGCCAUAGUUUGUACUUGUAUGAUGUCACUCAGCCAUAGUGUCUACUUGUGUGACAUCACCCAGCCAUAGCGUGUACUUGUGUGAUGUCACUCAGCCGUAGUGUGUACUUGUGUGAUGUCACUCAGCCAUAGUGUGUACUAGUGUGACAUCACCCAGCCAUAGCGUGUACUUGUGUGAUGUCACUCAGCCGUAGUGUGUACUUGUGUGAUGUCACUCAGCCGUAGUGUGUACUUGUGUGAUGUCACUCAGCCAUAGUGUGUACUUGUGUGACGUCACUCAGCCAUAGUGUGUACUUGUGUGAUGUCACUCAGCCGUAGAGUGUACUUGUGUGACGUCACUCAGCCAUAAUGUGUACUUGUGUGAUGUCACUCAGCCGUAGAGUGUACUUGUGUGACGUCACUCAGCCAUAAUGUGUACUUGUGUGAUGUCACUCAGCCAUAAUGUGUACUUGUGUGAUGUCACUCAGCCGUAGAGUGUACUUGUGUGACGUCACUCAGCCAUAAUGUGUACUUGUGUGAUGUCACUCAGCCAUAGUGUGUACUUGUGUGAUGUCUCUCAGCCGUAGUGUGUACUUGUGUGACGUCACUCAGCCAUAAUGUGUACUUGUGUGAUGUCACUCAG